GACGAACGCUGGCGGCGCGCCUAACACAUGCAAGUCGAACGGAGUCACGAGGAGCUUGCUUUUCUUGACUUAGUGGCGAACGGGUGAGUAACGCGUGAGUAACCUGCCCUGGAGUGGGGGACAACAGUUGGAAACGACUGCUAAUACCGCAUAAGCCCACGGAUCCGCAUGGAUCUGCGGGAAAAGGAUUUAUUCGCUUCAGGAUGGACGCGCAUCCAAUUAGCUAGUUGGUGAGGUAACGGCCCACCAAGGCGACGAUUGGUAGCCGGACUGAGAGGUUGGACGGCCACAUUGGGACUGAGACACGGCCCAGACUCCUACGGGAGGCAGCAGUGGGGGAUAUUGCACAAUGGGGGAAACCCUGAUGCAGCGACGCCGCGUGGAGGAAGAAGGUUUUCGGAUUGUAAACUCCUGUCGUUAGGGACGAUAAUGACGGUACCUAACAAGAAAGCACCGGCUAACUACGUG
This 468-nucleotide ribosomal RNA is filed under the name uncultured bacterium. RNAcentral describes it as "partial 16S ribosomal RNA". It matches the Rfam family "Bacterial small subunit ribosomal RNA", at positions 28 to 507 of the family's 1533-position model. The record is from RNAcentral.